UACGAAGGGGGCUAGCGUUGCUCGGAAUCACUGGGCGUAAAGCGCACGUAGGCGGAUUUGCCAGUCAGGGGUGAAAUCCCGGGGCUCAACCUCGGAACUGCCUCUGAUACAGCAAGUCUUGAGUCCGGAAGAGGUGGGUGGAAUUCCUAGUGUAGAGGUGAAAUUCGUAGAUAUUAGGAAGAACACCAGUGGCGAAGGCGGCCCACUGGUCCGGUACUGACGCUGAGGUGCGAAAGCGUGGGGAGCAAACAGG
This 253-nucleotide ribosomal RNA is filed under the name uncultured bacterium. Its description in RNAcentral is "partial 16S ribosomal RNA". It matches the Rfam family "Bacterial small subunit ribosomal RNA", at positions 524 to 776 of the family's 1533-position model. The record is from RNAcentral.